UGCCGCGUGUGUGAAGAAGGCCUUCGGGUUGUAAAGCACUUUUAUCAGGAGCGAAAUACUGCCGGCUAAUACCCGGCGGGGCUGACGGUACCUGAGGAAUAAGCACCGGCUAACUUCGUGCCAGCAGCCGCGGUAAUACGAAGGGUGCAAGCGUUAAUCGGAAUUACUGGGCGUAAAGCGUGCGUAGGCGGUUCUUUAAGUCUGCUGUGAAAUCCCCGGGCUCAACCUGGGAAUGGCAGUGGAUACUGGAGAGCUAGAGUGUGAUAGAAGAUGGUGGAAUUCCCGGUGUAGCGGUGAAAUGCGUAAAGAUCGGGAGGAACAUCAGUGGCGAAGGCGGCCAUCUGGAUCAACACUGACGCUGAGGCACGAAAGCGUGGGGAGCAAACAGGAUUAGAUACCCUGGUAGUCCACGCCCUAAACGAUGCGAACUGGAUGUUGGUCUCAACUCGGAGAUCAGUGUCGAAGCUAACGCGUUAAGUUCCCCGCCUGGGGAGUACGGUCGCAAGACUGAAACUCAAAGGAAUUGACGGGGGCCCGCACAAGCGGUGGAGUAUGUGGUUUAAUUCAAUGCAACGCGAAAAACCUUACCUGGCCUUGACAUGUCUGGAAUCC
RNAcentral lists this ribosomal RNA (612 nucleotides) under Dyella sp. IBb316. RNAcentral's name for it is "bacterial SSU rRNA". It matches the Rfam family "Bacterial small subunit ribosomal RNA", at positions 395 to 998 of the family's 1533-position model. The record is from RNAcentral. Lineage: Bacteria; Pseudomonadati; Pseudomonadota; Gammaproteobacteria; Lysobacterales; Rhodanobacteraceae.